Molecule: microRNA precursor, 97 nt
Filed under: Myotis lucifugus (little brown bat)
Lineage: Eukaryota; Metazoa; Chordata; Mammalia; Chiroptera; Vespertilionidae
Description: miRNA (ENSMLUG00000028598.1)
Source: RNAcentral
UCCCACUGAAGAUCUUGUUAAAAUGCAGAUUAUGGUUCAGUAGAGCAGGGUGGGGCCUGAGAUUCUGCAUUUCUAACCAGUUCCCAGGUGAUGUCCA